This 92-nucleotide ribosomal RNA is filed under the name Oleiphilus sp. HI0079. Its description in RNAcentral is "partial 16S ribosomal RNA". It matches the Rfam family "Bacterial small subunit ribosomal RNA", at positions 1 to 84 of the family's 1533-position model. Lineage: Bacteria; Pseudomonadati; Pseudomonadota; Gammaproteobacteria; Oceanospirillales; Oleiphilaceae. The record is from RNAcentral.
AGAUUAAACUGAAGAGUUUGAUCAUGGCUCAGAUUGAACGCUGGCGGCAGGCUUAACACAUGCAAGUCGAGCGGUAACAGAUCUAGCUUGCU